CCUACGGGUGGCAGCAGUGGGGAAUAUUGGACAAUGGGCGCAAGCCUGAUCCAGCAAUGCCGCGUGUGUGAAGAAGGCCUGCGGGUUGUAAAGCACUUUAAGCAGGAAAGAAGGGGUGGAAGUUAAUACCUUUCAUCAUUGACGUUACCUGCAGAAUAAGCACCGGCUAACUCCGUGCCAGCAGCCGCGGUAAUACGGAGGGUGCAUGCGUUAAGUGGAAUUACUGGGGGCGGAGCGCGCGUUGGCAGGUGAAAGCCCCGGGCUUAACCGGGGAACUGCGGUGGAUACUGUCGAGCUAGAGUGUGGUAGAGGGGAAUGGAAUUUCCGGUGUAGCAGUGAAAUGCGUAGAGAUCGGAAGGAACACCAGUGGCGAAGGCGGCUCCCUGGACUAACACUGACGCUGAGGUGCGAAAGCGUGGGGAGCAAACAGGAUUAGAUACCCCAGUAGUC
RNAcentral lists this ribosomal RNA (450 nucleotides) under uncultured bacterium. Its description in RNAcentral is "partial 16S ribosomal RNA". It matches the Rfam family "Bacterial small subunit ribosomal RNA", at positions 338 to 795 of the family's 1533-position model. The record is from RNAcentral.